GUCAAUUCCAACACUCCCACACCUGGCCCGAUCACAUGGAGUAGAGUUCUCGCACAGUCAAUUCCAACACUCCCACACCUGGCCCGAUCACAUGGAGUAGAGUUCUCGCACAGUCAAUUCCAACACUCCCACACCUGGCCCGAUCACACCAAGGUUAUUUAACUAACGUAUUGGCUAUUUUGACAUGUCAUAUUUCAUUUAACG
This is a long non-coding RNA of Pecten maximus, 204 nucleotides long. RefSeq lists it as uncharacterized. The transcript is spliced from 3 exons. Lineage: Eukaryota; Metazoa; Mollusca; Bivalvia; Pectinida; Pectinidae. The record is from RefSeq and is a predicted model, not a curated record.